AGAGUUUGAUCAUGGCUCAGAAUCAACGCUGGCGGCGUGCCUCAGACAUGCAAGUCGAACGAUUAAAGCUCUCUUCGGAGAGUGUAUAGAGUGGCGCACGGGUGAGUAACACGUAAGUAAUCUACCCUCGAGUGGGGAAUAACAACCGGAAACGGUUGCUAAUACCGCAUAAUGCAGCGGCACCGCAAGGUGACAGUUGUUAAAGAUUUAUCGCUUGAGGAGGAGCUUGCGGCAGAUUAGCUAGUUGGUAGGGUAACGGCUUACCAAGGCUACGAUCUGUAACCGGUCUAAGAGGACGGUCGGUCACACUGACACUGAAUAACGGGUCAGACUCCUACGGGAGGCAGCAGUCGGGAAUUUUGGGCAAUGGGCGAAAGCCUGACCCAGCAACGCCGCGUGAAGGAUGAAGUAUUUCGGUAUGUAAACUUCGAAAGAAUAGGAAGAAUUAAUGACGGCACUAUUUAUAAGGUCCGGCUAACUACGUG
Molecule: ribosomal RNA, 485 nt
Filed under: uncultured bacterium
Lineage: Bacteria
Description: bacterial SSU rRNA
Rfam family: Bacterial small subunit ribosomal RNA
Source: RNAcentral